This 84-nucleotide small nucleolar RNA is filed under the name Tupaia belangeri chinensis (Chinese tree shrew). RNAcentral describes it as "Tupaia chinensis (Chinese tree shrew) Small nucleolar RNA U13". It matches the Rfam family "Small nucleolar RNA U13". Lineage: Eukaryota; Metazoa; Chordata; Mammalia; Scandentia; Tupaiidae. The record is from Rfam by way of RNAcentral.
AUCCUUUGUGGUUCAUAAAGUGAGUUAAGUGAGAUGUGCCUCCCUCAAACCUUGUUACAACAUUGGCACUGUACCUGUCUGAUG